RNAcentral lists this ribosomal RNA (255 nucleotides) under uncultured bacterium. RNAcentral describes it as "partial 16S ribosomal RNA". It matches the Rfam family "Bacterial small subunit ribosomal RNA", at positions 524 to 776 of the family's 1533-position model. The record is from RNAcentral.
UACGUAGGCAGCAAACGUUGUUCGGAGUUACUGGGCGUAAAGCGCGCGCAGGCGGCCCUUUAAGUCUACCCGUGAAAUGCCGGAGCUCAACUCCGUGCACGCCGGGGGAUACUGGAGGGCUGGAGACGAGUAGAGGCAAGCGGAAUUCCGGGUGUAGCGGUGGAAUGCGUAGAGAUCCGGAAGAACACCGGAGGCGAAGGCGGCUUGCUGGGCUUGGUCUGACGCUGAGGCGCGAAAGCGUGGGGAGCGAACAGG